Molecule: RNA transcript, 2906 nt
Organism: Gossypium raimondii (Peruvian cotton)
Lineage: Eukaryota; Viridiplantae; Streptophyta; Magnoliopsida; Malvales; Malvaceae
Exons: 10
Source: RefSeq, a predicted model, not a curated record
UCGAAAUUCCUUUAGUUUUUUUCCAAAUCAAAUUUCUUCGAAAGCCCAAAAUUAUUUUUCCCAAAUCCCUUUAUUUCUUCCCCAAUUUCUUUUCCCUAAUUUCCCCCAACGGAUCAAAAUUCCUAACUUUUUUCCCCAAAUCCCCUCCUUUUUGUCAUCUUUCAAAUCCUAACCCUUUUCUCUUCUGUAUAAAUUCUUCACCAGCAACAGCAACAAAAAAAUUCUCAUCGCCAUUCUUUUCGCCGAAACCAAAAAAAUUCUGAGGAAAAUAUGCAGCAGCCUCCACAGUUGAUGAGCAUCACCACUGAGAAGAUUCAAAAGGGUAGUUACUGAGCUCCCAAUUUUCUAUUUCUUUCUUUUUUUGGCCAGACCGAAUUAAGAAGGCCAGAGUUUGUAAAGGUAAUAGCAGUGAAUUUCACCCUUAUAUUUAAAACUGCUGCUUUCUCUUUGCUUGAUAUUUGAUGCUUGAAAAUAUUGCGAUAUGCUAAAUACAACACAUUUUAUCUGGUGGAUACUUUGAGAAUAGAGGUAAAUAUCAAUAGGCUGUUUAGUUGUAAACCUUUUUGCAUGCUUUGCCAUUUCAUGAAAUUGAAGAUGAGUGACAACAUUCACAUUGCGCAUGCUAUUGUCUUUCAAUUUAAAUAAGGGUGCACUUCUGUUUUUAAAAACACAAACUUGGACAUCCGAAUUUGUUGAAUUAAGCAUAUAGGGUUUGGGUGCUAGAUUUAUCACGUCUUGUUUGUUGUUUAGAUUUGGCAACAUGAUAGUAUUGGAAAACAACCCCUUUCCCCUUUUCAGAUGAUUUGUUUUUUUGAGUAUUUUUUCAGUUCCGGAGGUCUGACUCUUGCGUUGGGUUUGUCAAAUGCUUGGUUUAAAAUAAAGAAAGAAGCCAAAGGUUGGAAAAAGAAAGGGUUUGGAGUGGAAAGGAUAUCAAUGACGAAGUUAAAUGGCUUUCCCAAGGUCCGGAUAGAGCAGAAAAAAGAUAUACUGCCUUCAUCAUUAAUGGAUUCAAGUUUCAUACAAAAUCUCGCAAAAGAUUGAGGAGGACUCAAAAUUGUGGAAUAGUUGUUAAUUCUUCAAUUACAAGUUAUGCUAGUGCUAGGGACAGUAAUCCUGUUGAAGGAAAUGUGGAGUAUUACGAACUUCUUAUUGACAUUAUUGAGUUAGAUUACUAUGGCAAACGGAAGAUUGUCUUAUUUCGAUGUGAUUGGGCUGAUGUUAAUACUGCUCGCGGAAUUAAAAAAAAUCAAUUUGGUUUUACAAUAAUGAACUUCUCUCGAUUAAUUCACACUGGACAACAAUUGAUAAACGAGCCGUAUGUAUUUUCUUCUUAAGUCAAACAAGUUUUUUACUCGAAUGAUCCAACUGAUAAGGGUUGGUACGUUGUACUCCGUAACACCCCUAGAGACUUGUUUGAUAUGGGCAAUGGAAGUAGAGAUGACAUCGGCGAAAGAUUAGAAACUUUGUCUUUUCUAGAACAAAACUUAAAUGAAACAAUCUUUAGUACUAGUACACAAUUUCAAUGGGUUCGCCAAGAUGUCAAUGGGUUCGCCAAGAUGUGGAUGAAGAUAUUUCUGAAUCAUGAUGUAAUAAAAUGCAUAGAAGAAGAUUGCGAGAUCUAAGUAUUAUUCAAAAUUCUCUAAAUUCGAAAGAAACAAAUAGUGAACAACAUACUGCUAUUGGAUCUUCGAAUGUUCUGAAUACAGCUGACGAACUUGCAGAAAUUCAAACUGAAAGUGGUGGGAGGCGCAAAACUCGAGAACGUACUCUAUUAAAAGAUUUAUACGAGUUAAAUUCUGUCGAGCGUAUCAAAAUAGAUAGAAAUUGUCAUAGUCAGCCUAUUGGAUUAGAAGCUCGACUUUUAGCAGGAUACUUGGGCAUUAUUGCACGAAACGCUAAUCUGUUGCCUAUCAACUACGAGUCAUGGCAUCAUAUGCCUGAUAGUAACAAAAAUGAAGCUCUCGAUAAUAUUAAGGAGAGAUUUGCUUUAGAGGUCUAAGAUAAUUAUGUGAAGAAGACAUUAGGAAAAAAAUGGAGAGACCAUAAAAGUGCUUUAAAGAAGGAAUAUUUUAAGAAAAAUAUAAGCCUCAAAGAGAAAUUGCGAAAUGUCCCGUCGAGAAUGCUGAGGUACCAAUGGGAAAAUGCAGUUAGAUUUUGGAAUUUAAAAAUGAGAGGAUUGUGAGCGAGUUGGAACUACAAGUAGGCAAAAACAAAAAUUCACGCACACAGCUGGGUCGAAAAGUUUUGCUUCUGUAGCUGAUGACUAGGAAUUGUCUGGUCAAAAACUUGGAAACUUUCAACUUUUUGACAUUACACAUAGAAAGAAAGAUGGAUCUCCUAUGACUAUUUAAGCUGCAGAAAUUAUGGAGAAACUAAAGGAUAAAAGGGCGGAGUAUGAAGUGAUUGCUUCAAGUGAUAGUUCUGUUAAUCUUGAAGACAUUGAUAACUGAAUUAUUACUGAAGUUUUAAGUCUUGAAAGGUAUGGUCGGGUUCAAUUUCAAGGAUCUUUUAUUAACCCAACCCAAUAUUUUAGAUCCAGCUCGCAGCAAUACAUGUCUUCGGGGAAUCAGGAUCAAGCUGAAGUUCGGAGGUUAAGAGACUAGAUGGCUCAGAUGCAAGCGAGCAUAGUUGAGCAAAUUGCUCAACUUAAAGCGGAGGCAGUAUCGAGAGAAGCAAAAACUCAAAGAAAAUAUGAAGAACUCCAAGUACAACUUAAAGCGGAGGUAGCAGCGAGGGAAGAAGAGGCAAAUAGAAAAUAUGACGAACUCCAGCUACAGCUUCAGAAUAUGAUGAAGAUGUUUCAGCAGUCGCAGAAUCCGCUAUAUUAGACGUUUGUUUUCUUAUUGUAAGAACAUUUUAACAAUAUAACUUUUGAAUAUAAUAUAUUUUGUUAUUUCAUUUAUUAA